CGAACGCUGGCGGCGUGCUUAACACAUGCAAGUCGAGCGAUGAAGCACCUUCGGGUGUGAAUUAGCGGCGAACGGGUGAGGAACACGUGAAGAAUCUGCCUUCAACUCUGGGAUAACUCCGGGAAACCGGGGCUAAUACCGGAUAUGAGCCUUGAUCGCAUGAUCGGGGCUGGAAAGUUUUUCGGUUGAAGAUGACUUCGCGGCCUAUCAGCUUGUUGGUGAGGUAAUGGCUCACCAAGGCGACGACGGGUAGCCGGCCUGAGAGGGCGACCGGCCACACUGGGACUGAGACACGGCCCAGACUCCUACGGGAGGCAGCAGUGGGGAAUAUUGGGCAAUGGAGGAAACUCUGACCCAGCGACGCCGCGUGAGGGAUGAAGGCCUUCGGGUUGUAAACCGUCUUUCAGUAGGAAGAAGCGAAAGUGACGGUACCGUACAGAAGAAGCACCGGCUAACUAUGUGCCAGCAG
RNAcentral lists this ribosomal RNA (469 nucleotides) under uncultured bacterium. Its description in RNAcentral is "bacterial SSU rRNA". It matches the Rfam family "Bacterial small subunit ribosomal RNA", at positions 30 to 514 of the family's 1533-position model. The record is from RNAcentral.